RNAcentral lists this long non-coding RNA (1103 nucleotides) under Helianthus annuus (common sunflower). RNAcentral describes it as "hypothetical non coding rna". The record is from RNAcentral. Lineage: Eukaryota; Viridiplantae; Streptophyta; Magnoliopsida; Asterales; Asteraceae.
AUGGGCCUUAUCUGCUAUGAGAAGGAGAUAGAGAGAAUAGGUUAUGAAAGGUCAAACUUCAAAGGACAAAUUGCAGCCGUAUACAUCGUAGGUUAGGGCGGAGAAUGGCCGAAUGGGGAUUGGCAGGAACAUAUAAAAAAUUAGGUCUCAAAUUGAAAGAGGGGAAAAUAAGCUUCAACAAUAAUUGUAAAUAACUAGAGAUUUAGAUAAACAUGUAGUCUUUGUUUUUGACAAAUGUGAUUCUGGAAGAUAUCAAGCUUAUAACUCGUCUUUGUCAGGGAAUAUACUACCAUAUUCUUGGAAUAUGCGAGGAUAGUACCAACACUAGCUUCACCAGAACCAAUAUCAAUCUUCCGUUAUAUCUGUGGAUUAAUUAGUGAAAUCAGAGAUAUAGUCAAGGCAGCUAGGCCACAAACAAUAAAAGAAGCAGUGGAGCUGGCUAAAACUCUAACAGAUGGAUUGGUACGUACACAAGAAGAAAACAAGAAAAAGAAUCUAGCCUAAAGGAUUACCCAGGAACUACGUUAUGGUAAUUCCUAUCGUUGGAAAGGAACAGGUUCAUCUUCUUCAUCUUUCUGUAAACUCUGUAGAAAGAAGCACUCAGGGAAGUGUGUUGUGUCCUGCAACUUCUACAAGAUACCAGGACAUAAGGAAGAAGACUGUAAGAAGAAAGCUAAUGCCAGAAUAUGCUACAACUUUGGAGAGGCAGGUCACAUCCGCUAAAACUGUCGAAAACUACCUCCAGCAGCCAACAACAAAGCAAAGGCAAUAGAAUGACCCAAGAAGAAUGCCAGAGCAUUCGUACUAACAACCGAAGAAGCUAAGAUGAUCCUUGAUGUGAUUGCCGGUGGUUCGAAUUUCAGCCUAAUAGACAAGAAUGCUCAGGUGAGACUUUAAAUAUUGUUUGCUAGUUGGUGUGUUUAAACUUGAUUAUUUAGCUAGUACUUUUGGUUAGUUGAUAUAAGAUGUAGUUUAUAUAAAACAGCAACUGUCUAAAAGAUUUAUGUAUAGCUUCGGAUUUGAACUUAAAUUUAGCACAUUUGACCUCAAAAGUUGAAGGAUAUUUUCUUUAACGGCACUGAAAGGUUAAAUUUAGCAUAUUU